AUAUCAAUAAGCGGAGGAAAAGAAACUAACAAGGAUUCCCCUAGUAACGGCGAGUGAAGCGGGAAGAGCUCAAAUUUGUAAUCUGGCACCUUCGGUGUCCGAGUUGUAAUCUCGAGAAGUGUUUUCCGCGCCGGACCGCAUACAAGUCUGUUGGAAUACAGCGUCAUAGUGGUGAGAACCCCGUACCUAAUGCGGAUGCCCGGUGCUUUGUGAUACACUUUCGAAGAGUCGAGUUGUUUGGGAAUGCAGCUCAAAUUGGGUGGUAAAUUCCAUCUAAAGCUAAAUAUUGGCGAGAGACCGAUAGCGAACAAGUACCGUGAGGGAAAGAUGAAAAGCACUUUGGAAAGAGAGUUAACAGUAC
This 361-nucleotide ribosomal RNA is filed under the name uncultured fungus. Its description in RNAcentral is "eukaryotic LSU rRNA". It matches the Rfam family "Eukaryotic large subunit ribosomal RNA", at positions 40 to 398 of the family's 3401-position model. Lineage: Eukaryota; Fungi. The record is from RNAcentral.